RNAcentral lists this ribosomal RNA (253 nucleotides) under uncultured bacterium. Its description in RNAcentral is "partial 16S ribosomal RNA". It matches the Rfam family "Bacterial small subunit ribosomal RNA", at positions 524 to 776 of the family's 1533-position model. The record is from RNAcentral.
UACGGAGGGGGCUAGCGUUGUUCGGAAUUACUGGGCGUAAAGCGCGCGUAGGCGGACCUGCAAGUCGGGGGUGAAAGCCCGAGGCUCAACCUCGGAACUGCCUUCGAUACUGCGGGUCUCGAGUCCGGAAGAGGAGAGUGGAAUUCCUGGUGUAGCGGUGAAAUGCGCAGAUAUCAGGAAGAACACCCGUGGCGAAGGCGGCUCUCUGGGACGUGACUGACGCUGAGACGCGAAAGCGUGGGGAGCGAUCAGG